This 644-nucleotide small RNA is filed under the name Arabidopsis thaliana (thale cress). RNAcentral's name for it is "ATSL281310". Lineage: Eukaryota; Viridiplantae; Streptophyta; Magnoliopsida; Brassicales; Brassicaceae. The record is from RNAcentral.
AUGCAAUUUGAAUACUAGAGUAACAAUAAUAUGCAAUUUGAAUGUUUAUGACCCAACAAGUAUUGAAUAAAGACAAUGUUGAAUCACACCUAGCAAAUUGUUUAUAAUUCAAGACCGUUUUUUCAUUUAUCUUUUAUAUUAAUUUUGUUUAUUCUUUUCUAUAAGAAUUUGGCCUACUUUGUUUCUACUAUAUAUAACAUAAUCUUUAAUUUCUAUAAUCUCAACUAGACGGUGUGUCAAAGUUCUAGUACCAUUCCACUAGUUAGAGCUCAUAGUACCCGAGAAUGAUGAGUAUAGUUGGUGAUGAUAUAUGAUUUUGAAAAGAUUAUAUGAGAAACAAUAGCUAGAGAAAGAGCCCUUGAUACCUUUCUGAGUAUGUCCAUAUUCAAAUUAUUAGAAGUAAUAACAUAUGAUUGAGUAUGUUGUACAAUUACAUACAAUAUAUCAAAAUUUAAGUACGAAAAUACCACACAAUUCAUCAAAAUAGAAUAAAAUAUAUGCUUAAAUGUAAAUAAAUUAUAUCAUGCAGCAAUCAAAUCAUUUUCAUCUAAACAAAUGUGCAACUGGAAUUAGUUAAAAAAUUAAAUUUAUAUGGUUCCUAUAAAAUUAUAGUAAAAUAUGUCGCAUAUCAGAACAAAUGCUCU